RNAcentral lists this ribosomal RNA (703 nucleotides) under Actinomyces sp. oral taxon 175. RNAcentral describes it as "bacterial SSU rRNA". It matches the Rfam family "Bacterial small subunit ribosomal RNA", at positions 371 to 1065 of the family's 1533-position model. The record is from RNAcentral. Lineage: Bacteria; Bacillati; Actinomycetota; Actinomycetes; Actinomycetales; Actinomycetaceae.
AUGGGCGCAGCCUGAUGCAGCGACGCCGCGUGAGGGAUGGAGGCCUUCGGGUUGUAAACCUCUUUCGCCAGUGAAGCAGGCCUGUCCCUUUUGUGGGGGGGUUGACGGUAGCUGGAUAAGAAGCGCCGGCUAACUACGUGCCAGCAGCCGCGGUAAUACGUAGGGCGCGAGCGUUGUCCGGAAUUAUUGGGCGUAAAGAGCUCGUAGGCGGCUGGUCGCGUCUGUCGUGAAAUCCUCUGGCUUAACUGGGGGCUUGCGGUGGGUACGGGCCGGCUUGAGUGCGGUAGGGGAGACUGGAACUCCUGGUAUAGCGGUGGAAUGCGCAGAUAUCAGGAAGAACACCGGUGGCGAAGGCGGGUCUCUGGGCCGUUACUGACGCUGAGGAGCGAAAGCGUGGGGAGCGAACAGGAUUAGAUACCCUGUAGUCCACGCCGUAAACGUUGGGCACUAGGUGUGGGGGGCCUUUUCCGGGUCUUCCGCGCCGUAGCUAACGCAUUAAGUGCCCCGCCUGGGGAGUACGGCCGCAAGGCUAAAACUCAAAGGAAUUGACGGGGGCCCGCACAAGCGGCGGAGCAUGCGGAUUAAUUCGAUGCAACGCGAAGAACCUUACCAAGGCUUGACAUGUGCCGGUCGGCUCCGGAGACGGGGUUUCCUCCUUGUGGGGCCGGUUCACAGGUGGUGCAUGGUUGUCGUCAGCUCGUGU